RNAcentral lists this ribosomal RNA (376 nucleotides) under uncultured bacterium. RNAcentral describes it as "bacterial SSU rRNA". It matches the Rfam family "Bacterial small subunit ribosomal RNA", at positions 521 to 896 of the family's 1533-position model. The record is from RNAcentral.
UAAGACGAAGGUGGCGAGCGUUGUUCGGAAUCACUGGGCAUAAAGCGCACGUAGGCGGUGCCGUAAGUCGGGUGUGAAAUCCCUCGGCCUAACCGAGGAACUGCGCCCGAUACUGCGGUGCUUGAGGACCAGAGGGGUGCAUGGAAUUUCCGGUGGAGCGGUGAAAUGCGUUGAUAUCGGAAGGAACUCCGGCGGCGAAAGCGAUGCACUGGCUGGUUUCUGACGCUGAGGUGCGAAAGCCAGGGGAGCAAACGGGAUUAGAUACCCCGGUAGUCCUGGCCGUAAACGAUGGGUACUAGGUAGGGGGAUUUCAAACGUCUCUCUGCUGGAGUGAAUAUAUUAAGUACCCCGCCUGGGAAGUACAGUCGCAAGGCUG